RNAcentral lists this ribosomal RNA (393 nucleotides) under uncultured microorganism. RNAcentral describes it as "bacterial SSU rRNA". It matches the Rfam family "Archaeal small subunit ribosomal RNA", at positions 330 to 726 of the family's 1478-position model. The record is from RNAcentral.
GUGCAGCAGGCGCGAAACCUCCGCAAUGCGGGAAACCGCGACGGGGGACCCGAGUGCCGUGGCAACGCCACGGCUUUUCCGGAGUGUAAAAAGCUCCGGGAAUAAGGGCUGGGCAAGGCCGGUGGCAGCCGCCGCGGUAAUACCGGCGGCCCGAGUGGUGGCCGCUAUUAUUGGGCCCAAAGCGUCCGUAGCCGGGCCCGUAAGUCCCUGGCGAAAUCCCACGGCUCAACCGUGGGGCUUGCUGGGGAUACUGCGGGUCUUGGGACCGGGAGAGGCGGGGGGUACCCCUGGGGUAGGGGUGAAAUCCUAUAAUCCCAGGGGGACCGCCAGUGGCGAAGGCGCCCCACUGGAACGGGUCCGACGGUGAGGGACGAAGGCCAGGGGAGCAAAACC